RNAcentral lists this ribosomal RNA (429 nucleotides) under Gemmatimonadota bacterium. Its description in RNAcentral is "Gemmatimonadetes bacterium partial 16S ribosomal RNA". It matches the Rfam family "Bacterial small subunit ribosomal RNA", at positions 355 to 776 of the family's 1533-position model. Lineage: Bacteria; Pseudomonadati; Gemmatimonadota. The record is from RNAcentral.
UAGGGAAUCUUCGGCAAUGGACGAAAGUCUGACCGAGCAACGCCGCGUGAGUGAAGAAGGUUUUCGGAUCGUAAAACUCUGUUGUUAGAGAAGAACAAGGACGUUAGUAACUGAACGUCCCCUGACGGUAUCUAACCAGAAAGCCACGGCUAACUACGUGCCAGCAGCCGCGGUAAUACGUAGGUGGCAAGCGUUGUCCGGAUUUAUUGGGCGUAAAGCGAGCGCAGGCGGUUUCUUAAGUCUGAUGUGAAAGCCCCCGGCUCAACCGGGGAGGGCCAUUGGAAACUGGGAGACAUGAGUGCAGAAGAGGAGAGUGGAAUUCCAUGUGUAGCGGUGAAAUGCGUAGAUAUAUGGCGGAACACCAGUGGCGAAGGCGGCUCUCUGGUCUGUAACUGACGCUGAGGCUCGAAAGCGUGGGGAGCAAACAGG